Salvelinus namaycush (lake trout) is the source of this 2536-nucleotide long non-coding RNA. RefSeq lists it as uncharacterized. Lineage: Eukaryota; Metazoa; Chordata; Actinopteri; Salmoniformes; Salmonidae. The record is from RefSeq and is a predicted model, not a curated record. The transcript has 5 exons.
AUGUGGGAAAAGUCAGGGGGUCUGAAUACUUUCCGAAUGCACUGUAUACACUAAUUGUAAUUUAGUGUCAAAUUGGGAUUAGUGUAUACUAAUCAAAUUGGGAUUAGUAUACACUAAUCCCAAUUUGAUUUGUCUUUUUGUUUUUAUUUUGGUAAAACAGCUGUUUAGGGGAUGCUACUAUAUCAUAAAUAUUUUAUGGAGACUUGCAUUAAUAGAUGCAAUUAAUGUACUUAUUUAAAAGGAUUGCCUCUUAAGAAACAGUAAUUUACUAGUCAACUAACAGAACAAAUACUAUAUCACAUCUACAGUACUCAAUAACACAAGCUUGUUUCAGAUAAAUAUGUUUUUAAUUUUCUUAGCAUAUCUCAUGAAAAUGUUUUAAGUUCACAAGGGUAACCCUCCUCCACUCCAACUCUACAGCUUUUGCAAUCCAAAGUUCAUUGACCUGUUGGAGAAAUGUGGGGUUUGCAAACUGCAUUCUGUGUUUACCGUGUGGGGUUGUAGUACAUUUCACUCCUUUUCCCCAUUGCUUCCUCUGAGUUGUCCAGGCAGGCUAGCUGAGGCUAGAGAGUUCAGCUAGUACUUCUGGUCCAUAGAGACUUGCUCCCUCUGACCCAGUCCACUCUGCAACUACUCAUAUCUGUCAUGUACUUAUUUACUGGAAAGUACAUAUUUUCUCAGGAAGUUAAAUUGACUAAUUGGUUCUCUAUAGUUUCAUCAUGAUGGGUCUGAGUCAAUACUGGCAUUCCUGUCACUGGAUGGUAUGGGAGUUUCUGAGAAUGUGCCCUAUAAUCUUUUGGGGGUACAUCUCUGUUAUGUACUGUCCUAUAAUAACCCUACCUCACAUGUACAGAAGUAGCUGCCUGGGGACAGAAAGACCACGCAAAAAAACAACAACCAAAUCCUCAGACUUCAACUCUGGCCUGGUUGAGGCCCAAUUAUAGCCUACUGGGGCAGUUUUGUGAUGUUUAGUUUAUCAAAGGUUAGCCUCAAUCCAUCCCCCAUCUCCCUGGAGGUGUCUUCUGUUCCCUCCCUCUUCCUCCUCUUGUCUGUUUGGCAUGCUCAACACAGCCUGGAUCAGUUGCAAGUUUCUGAGGAGACACUACACAGCUCUGGGUUCCAGUUUGAAGUCAGUAUUAAUUUAGCUGCUUGUGUGAUGGAUAAGUGUUUGAUGACACUCCCAGUCCUGCUCCUGUUCCUGGGCCUGGUUGGGAUAUCCCGCUCCUGUCUGAAUCCUGUCUCUGCAUACAGAUUCACUGGGGCUGUCUAUAGGCUGACCUACUCUGCAGCAGUGGUCUUGUCAACGUGGGACAUUCAGUAGAUUUUGAAAUUGAGUCACAUAUUGAUCUCGGCAGUAACCCCAAACUUUAUUGUGGAAAAGAGAAAGUUGCCACUGACACCUCAGUCUGUUACCUCACCUUCCACAAGCUCAAUCUCCUGCUGCAGGGAGACAAAGAACCUGGCUGGCUGAAGAGGCUGUUUACAGACUUUAUCACCUUCACAGUGAAGUUGGUUAUUAAAAGCCAGCUGAUUCAACGUGGUGUGGCAGAUACCAAAACUCUUCUGCGGUAGGAUACACAGUGUGGCCACUGCUCAUUCUCUCAAAAUGUCUGCGCCCAAAGAAGACAAGUUUCCGAGGAGAGAAGGACCAUUAUGAGAUGUUAUGUCGGAAUUUCACCGGAGCAAUGUCCGGAGAAGAGGAAUAUUGGGACAGGGACACAGAAAGAUGGAUUUCUGAGGAGGAAUGGAGGGGGAAAAAAGAGGAAGAAGAGGUUAAAGAAAAUGAGGAAAACUGAGGUUGGAAUUGAAUUUGAGGAAAUGGCUAUAAAAAUGGAAAUUGGGUGUUGAAGAAGAGUCAAGUGCAAACAAAGUGAGCUGUGCUCCAGAUCAAGUGAAGGAGGUGAAAUGAAAGUGAAGGAGAGUGAGUUAAGUGAGAUGGAAGGUGUGGUGCAUCAAUGGACAUGAUGAGGAAUCUGGUCCAGUAGGAGUGACAUUUUUGAAGAAAAUUGAUCCUUGCCUUUUGGCAGAUCCAUUUGUGGUUUCAGGGUUGGUGAUAAAGGAGUUGGGUACAGUUGAAUCAGUGAAGGUAACCUGUAGUGAUAUUUGUGUGUGUUUCUUCUGAUCAACAGGAGCGGGUGCUUCGUGUCAUGCAACUUGGGUCAAGAUCUGUUUCUUGCUUUGCACUUUGGAACAGGGCACAAUUGAAAGGAGUGAUUUCUGGGGAAGCAUUAAGUGUGGAGGUGGAGCAAUUGAAGUUAAAGAUUCCUGGUAUUUGUGAUGCCCGCUGUUUGGUGAGAUGCAGACCCGGUGGUGAGCGUUAUGAAACAGAGGAGUCACUGUCAGUCCUUUUGAGUUUUGAGUCUUUACCCGACAAAGUAAUGUUAGGAUAUAUCAGUUAUGCUGUUAGAGCUUUUGUGCCGAACCCACUGUGGUGUUUCAGAUGCAACGUUUAUGGUCAUGUCGCAGCAGUUUGUAGGAGGGAGAUUCCAAAUGUGGGAAGUGUGCAGGUGUAACGGAUGUGAAAUGGCUAGCUAGU